This 506-nucleotide ribosomal RNA is filed under the name uncultured bacterium. Its description in RNAcentral is "partial 16S ribosomal RNA". It matches the Rfam family "Bacterial small subunit ribosomal RNA", at positions 28 to 523 of the family's 1533-position model. The record is from RNAcentral.
GAUGAACGCUAGCUACAGGCUUAACACAUGCAAGUCGAGGGGUAACGAGAGGAAAGCUUGCUUUCCUUGUCGACGACCGGCGCACGGGUGAGUAACGCGUAUCCAACCUGCCCCCAACUAGGGAAUAACCUUGCGAAAGUAAGACUAAUACCCUAUAAUUUCCUCAGAUGUCAUCUGACGAGGAAUAAAGAUUUAUUGGUUGUGGAUGGGGAUGCGUCUGAUUAGCUUGUUGGCGGGGUAACGGCCCACCAAGGCAACGAUCAGUAGGGGUUCUGAGAGGAAGGUCCCCCACAUUGGAACUGAGACACGGUCCAAACUCCUACGGGAGGCAGCAGUGAGGAAUAUUGGUCAAUGGGCGGAAGCCUGAACCAGCCAAGUAGCGUGCAGGAUGACGGCCCUAUGGGUUGUAAACUGCUUUUAUACAAGAAUAAAGUUAGCCACGUGUGGUUAUUUGUAGGUACUGUAUGAAUAAGGACCGGCUAAUUCCGUGCCAGCAGCCGCCGUAA